Molecule: ribosomal RNA, 253 nt
Filed under: uncultured bacterium
Lineage: Bacteria
Description: partial 16S ribosomal RNA
Rfam family: Bacterial small subunit ribosomal RNA
Source: RNAcentral
UACGGAGGGUGCAAGCGUUGUCCGGAUUUAUUGGGUUUAAAGGGUGCGUAGGCGGCCCGUUAAGUCAGUGGUGAAAGCCUCCAGCUCAACUGGAGAACUGCCAUUGAUACUGACAGGCUUGAGUACAGACGAGGUAGGCGGAAUUGACGGUGUAGCGGUGAAAUGCAUAGAUAUCGUCAAGAACACCUAUAGCGAAGGCAGCUUACUGGGCUGUAACUGACGCUGAGGCACGAAAGUGUGGGGAUCAAACAGG